GGAUGAAAUUCCCUCGGGAUGUAAACUUCGCAAGAACAGGAAGAAUAAGUAGGGGACAAUACCCCCUAUGAUGACGGUACUGUUUGUAAGCUCCGGCUAACUCCGUGCCAGCAGCCGCGGUAAUACGGGGGGAGCAAGCGUUGUUCGGAUUUACUGGGCGUAAAGGGCGCGUAGGCGGCGCCGCAAGUCAGUUGUGAAAUCUCUGGGCUUAACCCAGAAAGGUCAACUGAUACUGCGGGGCUAGAGUGCAGAAGGGGCAACUGGAAUUCUCGGUGUAGCGGUGAAAUGCGUAGAUAUCGAGAGGAACACCUGCGGCGAAGGCGGGUUGCUGGGCUGACACUGACGCUGAUGCGCGAAAGCUAGGGGAGCGAACGGGAUUAGAUACCCCGGUAGUCCUAGCCUUAAACGAUGAAUGCUUGGUGUCUGGGGUUUUAUAGUCCCCGGGUGCCGUCGCUAACGCUUUAAGCAUUCCGCCUGGGGAGUACGGUCGCAAGACUGAAACUCAAAGGAAUUGACGGGGACCCGCACAAGCGGUGGAGCAUGUGGUUUAAUUCGACGCAACGCGAAGAACCUUACCUGGGCUAGAAUGCCCCUGACAGCCAUAGAGAUAUGGUCUUCUGGGUAAAACCAGACGGGGUGCAAGGUGCUGCAUGGCUGUCGUCAGCUCGGUC
This 671-nucleotide ribosomal RNA is filed under the name uncultured Acidobacteriaceae bacterium. RNAcentral's name for it is "bacterial SSU rRNA". It matches the Rfam family "Bacterial small subunit ribosomal RNA", at positions 406 to 1065 of the family's 1533-position model. The record is from RNAcentral. Lineage: Bacteria; Pseudomonadati; Acidobacteriota; Terriglobia; Terriglobales; Acidobacteriaceae.